This 1706-nucleotide ribosomal RNA is filed under the name Pomacanthus imperator (emperor angelfish). RNAcentral's name for it is "16S ribosomal RNA". The stretch from base 109 to 1594 matches the Rfam family "Bacterial large subunit ribosomal RNA". The record is from RNAcentral. Lineage: Eukaryota; Metazoa; Chordata; Actinopteri; Pomacanthidae.
CGCCAAAAAGCUAGCCUCCCCUUAAAAAACAAACAACCAAUAUUCAUAACCCCAAAUAAAUUAAUUAACUCAAAUUAACAAACCAUUUUUCCUCUUUAGUAUAGGCGAUAGAAAAAGAACUAUUAGAGCAAUAGAGAAAGUACCGCAAGGGAAUGCUGAAAGAGAAAUGAAACAACCCAGUUAAGCAUAGAAAAGCAGAGAUUCUAGCCCGUACCUUUUGCAUCAUGAAUUAGCUAGUAAAAUUCAAGCAAAGAGCACUUUAGUUUGCCACCCCGAAACUAAGUGAGCUACUCCAAGAUAGCCUAAUAAUAGGGCAAACCCGUCUCUGUGGCAAAAGAGUGGGAAAAGCUUCGAGUAGUGGUGACAGACCUAUCGAACUUAGUUAUAGCUGGUUGCCUGAGAACUGGAUAGAAGUUCAGCCUCCCGGCUUCUCCCCUCAUAUCUAUAAACCUAAAAACCCUUUAGACAUUCCAAAGAAACCGAGAGAGUUAAUUAAAGGGGGUACAGCCCCUUUAAUGUAAGAUACAACUUUUCUAGAAGGAUAAAGAUCAAAAUUUUAACAAGGGAUAAUGUCUCGGUGGGCCUAAGAGCAGCCACCCCAACAGAAAGCGUUAAAGCUCAGACAUACAAUCUUUCCCCUAUAUUUCGACAACAUAAUCUUAAUCCCCUAAUUUUAUCAGGCCGUCCCAUGCAAACAUGGGAGCGAUCAUGCUAGUAUGAGUAAUAAGAGAGUACUUAGACUCUCUCCUCGCAUAAGUGUAAGUCGGAGCGGACCAUCCCCCGAACUCUAACGGUCCCAAGCAAAGAGGGUAAUAGAUAGCAAACCAAACAACCAGAAAAUAAUCCAAGAAAUAACCGUUAACCCUACACUGGAGUGCUUACAAGGAAAGACUAAAAGAAAGAAAAGGAACUCGGCAAACACACCUAAGCCUCGCCUGUUUACCAAAAACAUCGCCUCUUGCAAAAUUAAUAAAUAAGAGGUCCCGCCUGCCCUGUGACUAUAUGUUUAACGGCCGCGGUAUUUUGACCGUGCGAAGGUAGCGCAAUCACUUGUCUUUUAAAUGAAGACCCGUAUGAAUGGCAUAACGAGGGCUUAACUGUCUCUUUUUUCAAGUCAAUGAAAUUGAUCUCCCCGUGCAGAAGCGGGGAUAAGCCCAUAAGACGAGAAGACCCUGUGGAGCUUUAGACACCAAGACAGAUUUUUGUCAAAUACCCCGAACUAAUGGAUUGAACCAAUUAAGCCCUGUCCUUAUGUCUUCGGUUGGGGCGACCGCGGGGAAAUGAAUAACCCCCACGUGGAAUGGGAGCACCUCCUCCCACAACUAAGAGCCCCCGCUCUAAUGACCAGGACUUCUGACCAAUGAGAUCCGGCAACGCCGAUUAACGAACCAAGUUACCCCAGGGAUAACAGCGCAAUCCCCUUUUAGAGCCCAUAUCGCCAAGGGGGUUUACGACCUCGAUGUUGGAUCAGGACAUCCUAAUGGUGCAGCCGCUAUUAAGGGUUCGUUUGUUCAACGAUUAAAGUCCUACGUGAUCUGAGUUCAGACCGGAGUAAUCCAGGUCAGUUUCUAUCUAUGUAUUGAUUUUUUCCAGUACGAAAGGACCGAAAGAAAGAAGCCCCUGCCCAAACACGCCUCCCCCCUCACCUAAUGAAUACAACUCAAAUAGAUAAAAGGACAUAUCAGCCUAACCAAAGAAAAUGGUAU